This 234-nucleotide ribosomal RNA is filed under the name uncultured bacterium. RNAcentral describes it as "partial 16S ribosomal RNA". It matches the Rfam family "Bacterial small subunit ribosomal RNA", at positions 118 to 347 of the family's 1533-position model. The record is from RNAcentral.
UGAGGAACAUGACCUUCGGCGGGGGAUAGCCGGCCCAACGGCCGGGUAAUACCGCGUACGACCUUUCGGGGACAUCCCUGGAUGGUGAAAGCAGCAAUGCGCCGAUGGAGUGCCUCGCGGCCUAUCAGCUAGUUGGUGAGGUAACGGCUCACCAAGGCAACGACGGGUAGCUGGUCUGAGAGGAUGGCCAGCCACAUUGGAACUGAGACACGGCCCAGACUCCUACGGGAGCAG